Molecule: small RNA, 296 nt
Filed under: Castor canadensis (American beaver)
Lineage: Eukaryota; Metazoa; Chordata; Mammalia; Rodentia; Castoridae
Description: 7SK RNA (ENSCCNG00000015806.1)
Rfam family: 7SK RNA
About the family: 7SK was discovered as an abundant small nuclear RNA in the mid-70s but a possible function has only recently been suggested. Two independent studies have found that 7SK RNA binds the CDK9/cyclin T complex (known as elongation factor P-TEFb).
Source: Rfam by way of RNAcentral
AGAUAUGAGGGCAAUCUGGCUGUGACAUCUGUCACCCCAAUGAUCGCCAGGGUUGAUUUGGCUGAUCUGGCUGGCUAGGCUAGUGUCCCCUUCCUCCCUCACUGCUCCAUGUGUGUCCCUCCUGAAGCUGCCUGCUCAGUUCGGUCGAAGAGGACGGCCAUCCCUGCUAGAGGAAGAUCACUCUUCAGUCAAGGUAUACAAACAGCUGUGUCCUCUGCUAGAACCUCCAAACAAGCUCUCAAGGCAGACCACCCACCAGACAACAACAAUAAGAACUUCCCAGGAGCCCUUUUUGG